Long non-coding RNA from Ostrea edulis (European flat oyster), 387 nucleotides. RefSeq lists it as uncharacterized. The transcript has 3 exons. NCBI's taxonomy places the organism in Eukaryota, Metazoa, Mollusca, Bivalvia, Ostreida, Ostreidae. The record is from RefSeq and is a predicted model, not a curated record.
GAACUAACCACGGAGCGAAAUUAUUCUACUUCCGGUGGUCCUCAUCAAGGACGAAACCGAAUUCGGAAUCUGCAAAUAAAAGAAUGUGGUGGUCAAUUCUUCCAUCCACCUUACUGUCGGUUGGGUUUCUCUGUGCCCCUGGCAUGUUAUGCGAUAAAUUUUUCCGAUUCAUUCGUUAUAAUGACAAGAGUGUACAAAGAGACACAUUUGACCCAACAGACUUUUUAUUGAGUCACAGAGAUUACUAUAUAAUGGGGAGCAGAUACGUUCGACGGGGCUUGGACUUUAUUCCGGAAGUUGAUUAGAGAGAAGAAUUGCCAGUACUUGACGUUGAAGAUAUGUUACCAUGAUAUGAUUAUAGAAUAUAAACAAAUUCUUUCCAAAUUG